This 52-nucleotide non-coding RNA is filed under the name unclassified sequences. The record is from RNAcentral.
CCUGUAAUGUAGCCUAAAAGACAGUUACAAGCCUGUAAAUACAGAGUACAGG